GAUGAACGCUGGCGGCGUGCCUAAUACAUGCAGGUCGAGCGAACGGACGAGAAGCUUGCUUCUCUGAUGUUAGCGGCGGACGGGUGAGUAACACGUGGAUAACCUACCUAUAAGACUGGGAUAACUUCGGGAAACCGGAGCUAAUACCGGAUAAUAUUUUGAACCGCAUGGUUCAAAAGUGAAAGACUGUCUUGCUGUCACUUAUAGAUGGAUCCGCGCUGCAUUAGCUAGUUGGUAAGGUAACGGCUUACCAAGGCAACGAUGCAUAGCCGACCUGAGAGGGUGAUCGGCCACACUGGAACUGAGACACGGUCCAGACUCCUACGGGAGGCAGCAGUAGGGAAUCUUCCGCAAUGGGCGAAAGCCUGACGGAGCAACGCCGCGUGAGUGAUGAAGGUCUUCGGAUCGUAAAACUCUGUUAUUAGGGAAGAACAUAUGUGUAAGUAACUGUGCACAUCUUGACGGUACCUAAUCAGAAAGCCACGGCUAACUACGUG
This 497-nucleotide ribosomal RNA is filed under the name uncultured bacterium. RNAcentral's name for it is "partial 16S ribosomal RNA". It matches the Rfam family "Bacterial small subunit ribosomal RNA", at positions 28 to 507 of the family's 1533-position model. The record is from RNAcentral.